CCGCUGGCUGCGGGUCCAUCGCCGAUACAUCCCGCGAGGCAGAGAGAAGGGAGGGAGAGAGGGAGAGGCAAAACAAAUGCAGAGGUAGACAGAGGGAGAGCGCGCGAGAGAGAGAGAAGAGGGCGAGAGAGAGAGAUAGCCGCGCGUACCGAGGCUGCUGCACAGACGCGGAGUCGCCACCGUCGCACGCUUACCAUUUUAAUUGAUCUGGACAAUCAAAACAGCGCGGGCUUCUAUUAUAACCAUCGAUUCGCGGACAACAGAGCCUCUCGCUUUGCUCGAAAGGAGGGCUUCCACGAAAAAAAUGAGCCGUAGGCACAAUUACUUUUGUAUGUUAGUGAACAUGCCUUCGAUCAGUGUUUCCUUCCACGCUUGAAGUUAGCCAUGCCUGUGACCUCGGUCUGAUUAUUCAAAGGCUUUCAAAGUCAGGCAGGCGAAACGGCGCGGGGUUAAGGCUGGCGACCCCUGCAUUAUUGACCAGGCAGCCCAUUAAAGUGACCGGCUGAGUAGACGUUGGGUGCCUCUGAGGUUAGCCGGCAUGGAUUGAAUCGAUCCAGGAGCCGUUUUCACUCUCUCAGUCCCGCAGACAAUAUUGAUCCCGCUCUUCUUUUGAAGGCGAGAAGCGGUGAAGGCGAUGGACACUGCGAAAUACAGUAAUUAAAUAAAUAUAUAAAACGCCAAACACGCACGCUUGGAUGUGCGGAUGCGUCCGCGUCCAAAAUAAACACACACGUGACCGCCGUGUGUGUCAAAGCGCCGAUUUCAAUCAAGCAGCACGCGCAUCCGAUGGAUAGAUAACGCUGCACACAGACGCUUCCACGGGGCACUUCCUCAACAUCACCUCCUACAACCCACACUUUGUUUCAACCCUUCAUAACACCGGCAUCAUCAUCACUACCACCAUUACCACAGCCACUAUCAUCCCUACAUCUCCCCCCCCCUACCUCUUUCUCCAAUAACCACCCUGCCGAAGCCAGCCAUCCAGCACACAAAGCAGCCCCCGCCACUCUACCCAGCCGUGCUCCACCACACAGGCGCAUGCAGCAAGAGACGCCGGGUGUGUAAUGUGUGUAAUGUUAUGCGCGCGCUGUGUUAUUUAUUGGGCGCGCCGCUCUGAGUGGGAUCUCGCGCGCUCAGCUAAUGCGCUGCUGCGCCGCUCGGCAUCAUCUCGCUCGCUUCUCGACAUCGCUCGAGCAGCAGCAGCAGCGGCGGAGGAGGCAGCGGUGGCAUCGCCAGCAACAACAGCAGCAGCAAGUUAUUUUAUUUAUUUACUUAAAUCGGAAACCGCCCGUCGCAGCCGUACACCGAAGUACAUACCGAGAGCCACGGGGGGGAGGGGGGUCGGGCAGCGAGCGUUGCGGGGCGGCCCCCGCACCGCGUUCCCCUCUCCGCUAUCCACGCCGCGCGCGCGGUUCGCGGGCCUCACCUGCGGCGCUGUUUACACAGGUGUACUGUAGGUGUACUGGAGGUGUACUGGAGGUUUACUGUCGGCAUCGGGCGUGCAGUACACGUGAACGCGCGCUCAGCAAAGCGCGCUGCUCCUGACGGGCGGCGUGUACGGGCGAGGGGACGCGGGCCACAGAGAGCCAGCGGAGGAGCUCCGUGGUCAUCGCCGGGACUCGUGCGGGAUGCGUAAUGCUAUCCGCGCACUCCCACGACGCACUGGUGUGCUGGUUGACAGCGGUGGGUCAGACGAGGUGCAAUAGAAGUGCCAACAUCACUUGCCCCGACGUGAAUGGCCGGUGACCACAACCCCGUGGCAGCACUUCGCCACCACACAGUGGACGGUGUUCAGUUCCCUGAACCCUCACCCUGAACACCGCUCCUGCCCAGCGGGAAGCCGCUCCUCCAUCUGCGCUGGAGGAGGGGGGCGGCGCUCCCCACGACCGGUGGGGGCAGUGGGGCGCGCUGGGGGGAACGAGAAAACCAAAACCUGGGCGGAGGGCAACCCGAGCGCUGGGAAGAGUCGGGGACAGCAGCGGGAGCAGGAUGA
Long non-coding RNA from Petromyzon marinus (sea lamprey), 1993 nucleotides. RefSeq lists it as uncharacterized. NCBI's taxonomy places the organism in Eukaryota, Metazoa, Chordata, Hyperoartia, Petromyzontiformes, Petromyzontidae. The record is from RefSeq and is a predicted model, not a curated record.